Non-coding RNA from Salvia hispanica, 453 nucleotides. NCBI's taxonomy places the organism in Eukaryota, Viridiplantae, Streptophyta, Magnoliopsida, Lamiales, Lamiaceae. The record is from RefSeq and is a predicted model, not a curated record.
AAUCCCCGAAGAAAUAGGGAAUCUUUCACAGCUAGAGGUGUUGAGCCUCACAGACUCCGCUCUGACCGGAAAUAUUCCAUCUUCAGUGUUCAACAUAUCUUCAUUGAAAUGCAUGGACCUCUCUAACAAUAGUUUGUCUGGAAAUAUCCCAACUUUUCACCAUCUUCCAAAGUUAGAGGAAUUAUAUCUGUUUCAUAACAAUUUACAAGGUUGGCUGCCAAGUGAUGUGUGCAGCAGCAAUAUGUCAAGCAUCAAAACACUUGAACUCUAUGAGAAUCAACUUGAAGGGAAAAUUCCACGAAAUAUAUGGAAAUGCACACAUCUUGAGUACUUGAUAUUAUACGACAAUAAUUUCAGUGGUAACAUCCCGUUAGAAAUUGGAAACAUGAGCAUGCUUAGGGGGUUGGUUUUGGGUAUGAACGACUUUCAAGGUAUACACUUCUAUUUUCAUCA